CGGCUCACCAAGGCUACGACGGGUAGCUGGUUUGAGAGAAUGGUCAGCCACACUGGGACUGAGACACUGCCCAGACUCCUACGGGAGGCUGCAGUCGAGGAUCUUGGACCAUGUUCCAAAGCGUUAACCACAGAGACCGCGUGUGCAGAGAACAGGCUCUUAGGGUUUGUACAGCGGUCCUGAGAGAGAGACGCGUCGGGGCGCGAUAUACCCGCGGAGAUGUGAUUGUCUCCUCGAGAAGGACACGGGGAAUCUCUCUGUCACCAGACGCGCUAAUACACAGAUGUCGAGCGUUGUGCCGAAUUACCGGGCGUUAAAGGUGCGUUAGCGGGAAUGUGAGUCCGAAGUGAAAGUCCCCAGGUCCACUGUGGGACUGCGUUCCAUAAUGGCGUACUUGAAUACCGGCGAAGUGAGUGGAAAUCCUGGUGUAACGGUUGAAAUGCGUAGAUAUCAAGAAGAACGCCGUUAGCGAAAGCGACUCACUGGACAGAUACUGACGCUGAGGUACGAAAGCCAGGGUAGCGAAGAGGAUUAGAUACCCUCGUAGUCCUGCCCGUAAACGUUUGUGCACUUGGUGUGGGAGGAGUUAUCCCCUUCCGUGCCGGAGCUAACGCGUUAAGUGCACCGCCUGGGGAGUACGGCCGCAAGGUUAAAACUCAAAGGAAUUGACGGGGGCCCGCACAAGCGGUGGAGCAUGUGGCUUAAUUCGAUGCAACGCGAAGAACCUUACCUGGGCUUGACAUGGAGAGACUUCGGUCUAAACCGGUGAAAGUCGGUUGAACUCACACAGGUGCUGCAUGGCUGUCGUCAGCUCGUGCCGUGAGGUGUUGGGUUAAGUCCCGCAACGAGCGCAACCCUUAUCGUUAGUUGCCACCUGGGGAGAGAUCCCCAGAGCACUCUAGCGAGACUGCCCGUGACAAGCGGGAGGAAGGUGGGGAUGACGUCAAGUCAGUAUGGUCCUUAUGCCCAGGGCUGCACACGUGCUACAAUGAACGGUACAGAAGGAUGCGAAGCCGCGAGGCCAAGCAAAUCCCCAAAACCGUUCUCAGUUCGGAUUGUAGUCUGCAACUCGACUACAUGAAGCUGGAAUCGCUAGUAAAGGCGUAUCAGCUACGACGCCUUGAAUACGUUCCCGGGCCUUGUACACACCGCCCGUCACAUCAUGAGAGCCGAUUGCACCCGAAGUCGCCGGGUUAACCUUCACAGGAGACAGGUGCCGAAGGUGUGAUUGGUGAUUGGGAUGAAGUCG
RNAcentral lists this ribosomal RNA (1249 nucleotides) under uncultured organism. RNAcentral describes it as "bacterial SSU rRNA". It matches the Rfam family "Bacterial small subunit ribosomal RNA", at positions 261 to 1488 of the family's 1533-position model. The record is from RNAcentral.